This 254-nucleotide ribosomal RNA is filed under the name uncultured bacterium. Its description in RNAcentral is "partial 16S ribosomal RNA". It matches the Rfam family "Bacterial small subunit ribosomal RNA", at positions 524 to 776 of the family's 1533-position model. The record is from RNAcentral.
UACGUAGGGUGCGAGCGUUGUCCGGAAUUAUUGGGCGUAAAGGGCUCGUAGGCGGUGUGUCACGUCGGCCGUGAAAACCUGCAGCUUAACUGUGGGCGUGCGGUCGAUACGGGCAUCACUGGAGUUCGGCAGGGGAGACUGGAAUUCCUGGUGUAGCGGUGAAAUGCGCAGAUAUCAGGAGGAACACCGGUGGCGAAGGCGGGUCUCUGGGCCGAUACUGACGCUGAGGAGCGAAAGCGUGGGGAGCAAACAGG